This is a long non-coding RNA of Vespa mandarinia (Asian giant hornet), 1254 nucleotides long. NCBI's taxonomy places the organism in Eukaryota, Metazoa, Arthropoda, Insecta, Hymenoptera, Vespidae. The record is from RefSeq and is a predicted model, not a curated record.
UUUCCUUAUCGUGUGUGUAAGGUUUAGUGUUUUUUUAUAAAUUACUUUUUUAUUUAUUUAUCUAUCGUGGAUGGAUAUGUCUGUAUUUUGCUGUCGUGUAAACACGAUCGAGAGCGAUCCAUUCGUCUUCUCGUAGCGAUAUUCCGGAUAACUUCCAGCCCUAUCAUAGUUUUCUUAAGCAAUCAUCAUGUGUGGCUUGUGUGAAAGAGAUCGGUUAUGUUUCUUUCUUUUCCUAUUUUAUAUUCUUUUUAUAUCUUUUUUCUUAUUUUUUUUUAGAUAGAAGAACGUUGCGACCGAUGGUCCGUCGUGGAAAUAACGGACAAAAAGCUUUAAAAGGAAUAUUCAUCAUGAUUUUCUUAAAAUAAUUUGGAGAAAUAAAAAAGAAAAUGAAGAUUAAGAAAUCUAUGCGAACGAUCACAGGUCGAUCGUUGAGUUUUAUAAAUUAGAAGAUCUAAAUCAUGUGAUUGACUUUUGGCUGACCAGAACUUGAGGAGAGUCGGAAAUGUAACUGCCUAGAUAAGCAGCGAUUUUUCUACGACACACACGUAUACAUAAAGAAACGAUAUAGAAGGAGAAAUCUCGUUGAGAUGCGAAGAUUUUUUCAACGCCAUUGCAAAAACGGCGUCAUCUUCGUUGUCGGUUUCAUGAAGCGAGUCACGUUAAAAGAUAGAGAGAGAGAGAGAGAAAGAAAGAGAAAGAGAGAGAGAGAAAGAGAGAAAGAGAAAGAGAGAGAAAGAGAGAGAGAGAGAGAGAGAUAGAGAGAGAGAGAGAGAGAGAGAGAGAGAGAGAGAGAGAGAGAGAGAGUGUGUGAUCGUCUACCGAGGCCGUCGGACGAUCCCUCAGCUACGUCACUAAGGGUACGUCGGUGCUUGUUUCCGCCUUUGGUCGCCUGCAGGUGACACGAUAUAAGCAAGAUGGCGGCGGCUCGUGCCGCACCUGCUCUCGAUGUCGGUACCAGCGGACCGCGACUACCACCGCUGCUAGGCCUCCUGGUGAACGCGCAGCUCAGCGAUCCGCCGCCUCCGCUUCUCUGGCUCGAACGCGAAGAUGGCCGGCCACCGUGCAGCGUCAGAGGUAUACCUAAAGACCGUUGAGAAAGAGAGAGAAACUCUAAUACUUUGUCCACCUUCCUUUUUUGUAUUUCCUUUUGUUUUGCGAUGAACAUGACGAGUUCAAGAUGAUUGCGUAUUUUUUUUACGUUUCUUGAGAAAGUAUGAAUAAAGAAAAUUGAUUUUCCAUUUUUUCUUCUUGAAA